Molecule: transfer RNA, 68 nt
Filed under: Sphaerodactylus townsendi
Lineage: Eukaryota; Metazoa; Chordata; Lepidosauria; Squamata; Sphaerodactylidae
Description: tRNA-Ala
Rfam family: tRNA (bases 4-59)
About the family: Transfer RNA (tRNA) molecules are approximately 80 nucleotides in length. Their secondary structure includes four short double-helical elements and three loops (D, anti-codon, and T loops). Further hydrogen bonds mediate the characteristic L-shaped molecular structure. tRNAs have two regions of fundamental functional importance: the anti-codon, which is responsible for specific mRNA codon recognition, and the 3' end, to which the tRNAs corresponding amino acid is attached (by aminoacyl-tRNA synthetases). tRNAs cope with the degeneracy of the genetic code in two manners: having more than one tRNA (with a specific anti-codon) for a particular amino acid; and 'wobble' base-pairing, i.e. permitting non-standard base-pairing at the 3rd anti-codon position.
Source: RNAcentral
GAGUGGCUUAGCAGUGGAGCAUCUGCUUGGCAUGCAGAAAGUCAUGGGUUCAAUCCCACGUAGGUCCA